RNAcentral lists this ribosomal RNA (465 nucleotides) under uncultured bacterium. Its description in RNAcentral is "partial 16S ribosomal RNA". It matches the Rfam family "Bacterial small subunit ribosomal RNA", at positions 338 to 795 of the family's 1533-position model. The record is from RNAcentral.
CCUACGGGCGGCAGCAGUGGGGAAUAUUGCGCAAUGGGCGAAAGCCUGACGCAGCGACGCCGCGUGAGGGAUGAAGGUCUUCGGAUCGUAAACCUCUGUCAGCAGGGAAGAACGGUCACUGUGCUAAUCAGCAGUGAAUUGACGGUACCUGCAAAGGAAGCACCGGCUAACUACGUGCCAGCAGCCGCGGUAAUACGGAGGGUGCGAGCGUUAAGCGGAAUUACUGGGCGUAAAGGGCUCGUAGGCGGUAUGUCAAGUCAAGGGUGAAAUCCCCGCGCUCAACGGGGGAACUGCCUUUGAAACUGGCAAACUUGAGUGUGUGAGAGGAUAGUGGAAUUCCAGGUGUAGGAGUGAAAUCCGUAGAUAUCUGGAGGAACAUCAGUGGCGAAGGCGCCUAUCUGGCACAUAACUGACGCUGAGGAGCGAAAGCGUGGGUAGCAAACAGGAUUAGAUACCCCAGUAGUC